UUUCUGAGAGAGUGGGACAUCCGGCUUGCGAGCAGGCAGAUUCGUUUUGGGCGUGACAAAAGAGCAACUUAAAAAUGGGUGACGUUGAGAAGGGCAAGAAGAUUUUUGUUCAGAAGUGUGCCCAGCGCCAUACCGUGGAAAAGGGAGGCAAGCACAAGAUUGGCCCAAAUCUCCAUGGUUUAUUUGGUCGAAAGACAGGUCAGGCCCCUGGAUUUUCUUACACGAUAACAACAAGAACAAAGACAUCGCCUGGGGAGAGGAGACACUGAUGGAGUAUUUGGAGAAUCCCAAGAAGUACAUCCCUGGAACAAAAAUGAUCUUUGCUGGCAUUAAGAAGACAGGAGAAAGAGCAGACUUGACAGCUUAUCUCAAAAAGGGCUACUAAGGAGUAAUAGUUGGCCACUGCCUUAUUUAUUACAAAACAAAAAUGUCUUGACUUUUUCUUAUGUGUACCAUAUUGAAAUUGAUCUCAUACACCAGAAUUGGAUCAUGAAUGGCUGAUAGAAUAUUUCUUUUGGACAGUCCUGAUUUAAAUAAGAUGGGCUCGUGGUUAAAUGAAUAGGAUCAGCUUUUUGAACUUUGAUUGUAAUUCUGGUUCAGCAAGUGCUGUCACUGUUUUCCCCUUCCAGAGAUUCGAUUACAAUUGAUUAGUAAUGGUCAGCUUUUCACAGAGACGGUAAAUGCCAUCUCUAAACUUAUAGAAGAUUAGUUUUAUAUUUAGACUUAUGUAACUGGUUAUACUAAUAUAUUUAAAUACUGAGGAAAUCCCUUCACCGUCUCAUAGAACAGCAAGACUCAGCUGUGUUUCAAGUUGUGUUUGUUAGCCUGUUAAAGGCAAGGGCUGAAGAUAAGCUGGCAGUGUCCACUUUACCUUUUUGUCUUAACUAUGCCAAUUUAAUUAAAAUUCCCUGCAUCUAAA
Molecule: RNA transcript, 919 nt
Organism: Odobenus rosmarus divergens (Pacific walrus)
Lineage: Eukaryota; Metazoa; Chordata; Mammalia; Carnivora; Odobenidae
Gene name: cytochrome c-like
Exons: 1
Source: RefSeq, a predicted model, not a curated record